GCUUCUGUAGUUCAAUGGCAGAACUCCGGCCUUGUAACCCGGAAAUUACGGUUCGAGUCCGUACAGAAGCU
RNAcentral lists this transfer RNA (71 nucleotides) under Firmicutes bacterium CAG:424. It matches the Rfam family "tRNA". Rfam says of the family: Transfer RNA (tRNA) molecules are approximately 80 nucleotides in length. Their secondary structure includes four short double-helical elements and three loops (D, anti-codon, and T loops). The record is from Rfam by way of RNAcentral. Lineage: Bacteria; Bacillati; Bacillota.